This 1205-nucleotide small RNA is filed under the name Oryza sativa Japonica Group (Japanese rice). RNAcentral's name for it is "sRNA Os07g0171350". Lineage: Eukaryota; Viridiplantae; Streptophyta; Magnoliopsida; Poales; Poaceae. The record is from RNAcentral.
CCUUUGGACAUCACAACUAAAGAACUUCCGUUAGCUGAUCCAGCUAUUGCUGUUAUGUAGAAAUUCUUCUCCCACUGAUCCAUUAUCCAGUCCUAUGUAUAAUUGAAACAGAAGCUCAUGAACUUGAGAAAGGAAACCAGUUCCUGCAUCCAUUAUGAGGGCCCAAAGAUUUGCUGAAGACGCCACACAACUAAUGUAUAGACCAUCUUCAUUACCCUUCUCUAUAUGCUGCUGAAGCCUGUUGUCAGCCACUUCUUUGAUGUAAUUACCUUUGCUUCAUGGCCCGCCUGGCGUUAUAAACAGAAAUCCAUUGAGCUGCUGGGCUACCUAAUCUAACUUUCUUCUUGGGUUGCUCAUCUUCUUCAUGGUUUCUUCCACGUUUCUGCCCAACCUAUAAUUUAAGAGAAGGAGCGCCAUCAAUUCUGAUAGGUCUUGAGGCAGGUACCUCAAUCAAACUAUCAAAGAGAGAAAUCAGUUUGGCGUAAUUUGGCUCUUCAUCAAAUUUCAUAUUUGUGACAACUUCAAGAAACUGUUUGAAUGGAGGUGGACAGAAACAGCUUAGCAUCUCCGGAGAAGUAGCCAUUUUCUUCUUGCAAACAAGGAAACUCUUGGUAUCACCCUGGUAACCUUGCCAAGGCAAUCUUCCUCUUAUUAGAAAUAUAAGGGUGUACGCCAAUGACUCUAAAUCAUCCCUCCUACUACCAGUACGGCCUAAAUGGGCAUGGACACUGGCAUAUCUAAUUAAUAUUGCCAACCUAAAGAUAUCAGGCCUUUGGUCAUAAUCAACAUGUUGCCCUGAUGACUCCCUCCAUUUCGAUGCUCUUACCUAAACCAAGAUCAAUAAGAUAAAGCUUCUUCUCGUCAGGUGAUCCAGGCUGGCCAAGCAGAAAGUUCUCUGGUUUCACAUCACCAUGCACAUACCCUUUAGAAUGGAGCUUCUCAAGAAUUGAAAUGGCCUCUACAGCAAUGCAAGCACCCAUAUGUGGAGACAUCCUUGGACAGCUGGUAUGCCAUAGCAGCCAUUAAGAUUACUAGUAGGAAAGGUAAUAAUCAGUAAACUCAAAGAGCAGAGAAUAAUCUGGUACAAAUGAAAGAUGACUGUAUUAAGUACAUACUGGUAAACUUGCCACUCAUAGGGGGCACCAUAAUUGCACCCUUUACUGUUUCGAUGCUCAAGCUUCAAUGCAACCUACAUAGGGUCAUUU